Long non-coding RNA from Neopsephotus bourkii (Bourke's parrot), 3196 nucleotides. RefSeq lists it as uncharacterized. The record is from RefSeq and is a predicted model, not a curated record. The transcript is spliced from 3 exons. NCBI's taxonomy places the organism in Eukaryota, Metazoa, Chordata, Aves, Psittaciformes, Psittacidae.
AGGUUUCUAGUGAGGAUACCAACUAAGGUGACAGCUAAUGAACCAUUUACUCCUGAAAUUUAAGCCUAGGUCUGAGUUCAUCAUCCAGUUUAUAUUCAAAGAAAAGGGUUAUUAUGUAGAACUUGUUGCUCAAUCCUAACAAAUGCAACAGCAUAAAGAGGGAAAAGAGAUGUUCGGAGAACCUGUGACUUUGCAUGCAACUGGGGAGCACAUUCAAAAUGUUUUAAAGCUGGAGGAAGCUGAGAGAGAGAGACCUAUUUGUAAGAGUUACAAUCUCAAAACAAAAGGCAGGUAGGGCUGGAAUACCACUUUUGUAACGCUUGAAUGCUAGAAUUCAGCCUGUGCUUUCUUGUAUCAAAUUCAUGACAAUUUAGCAGUAUUUCAGUGCAGUUCUUUAUCAGUUUUAGAUUACAUCAUGCUGUGAAUUGCUUUAAUCUGUUAAUAUUGAUUCAUGUAAAUCAUUUGGUUUGAGGUCUUCAAAUAGGAAGUUGAGGUGCAUUUCAGUGUACAAUGUACUCAUUUUGUCCUUGAAAAUCAUUUAGAAAAAAAGCAAGCUGCAGUUGCAUAGAUUAUAUGACUUUUCUGAAAGGUUAGAUUUACCCCUUAGAACUGUCAACAGUGGGACAAAAGCCUUCCAUUGAAAGAAUGAGAAUGGAGGAGAAAAUGGUUGGUGCUUAAAGCUGAUUGAGGGAGUCACAGAAGUACUUCAGGUCUCAAGGGCUAUGUAGCCCAAAGCCUGAUUCAAAGAAGUCAUGCUCUUUUUAAGAAGAGUAGCUAGAGCAGCAGAAGUGAUACCUGAAUUCUAGUUCCUGAACUUUAAUCUACAUCUAGCUAGGGUUUUUUUUCCUAAUUACCUAAAUUUUACUUGAAUAUCUCCUUCUUGAAUAUCUUCUUCAACUGUUGCAGGGCUUUGCUGUGAGCUGAGAAACAUUUACUAUGCUCUGCCUGCUGGGUUGCAUUUUGUUCUCCAUCCAUUUGUACUGGGCUAACGUUUGUGAGUGAAGGGUCUUUUUGUUUUGCAAAUCCUUUAGGAUCCCUCAGAAAGACUGCUGGUGUAGAAAUAUCAGUGUUAAUCAGAUGCAUAUCAAGCUGUGAUAAAGGGAAGUUGCACUGGAAAAAAAUGGAAGUAAUAUUGUCAUAUGUUAUUGAUUAUCAUUGGUCUUUACUCCUGUAACUAAGAAGCUCCCACCUGAAUAUGUUCGGUUUUGCUGAAACUUUAUGGGAGCUGGAGCUGAGUAAAUGUGAUGACCGGAUUGGUGCACCUGAGCAAGGCAAGGUGUUGGCAGAAUUGUUCUGCUGCUUGCUAAAGGACUAUGGAGGUUUCUUGGGGAAACUGUCUUUCCUGUAUGGAAAGAAAAGUUUGCUCCUUCCUGACAUGAGGGACACUGUUAUUACUUCUCCAGCCUACUCUGAGUUUGCACGAGUGACUGAAAUGUUCCCAGACAAGCAGAUGGGAAAAUAGCCUGUAAAUCAUUAUUGUUAUAAAUGGCUUGUAAAACUUUGGAUGUUAAAAGGUAUUCCAGAAGUAGAAGGGGUUGGGGAAUAAUGAGGAAGCAGAGAAAGACUGCAGUAGCACAAGAUGUUCAGAGUUGGCCAAGAAGAAAUUUUAAGUGUAUCUUACUUCAGAUACGUCCUCUUGCACAAUUGGACUUUUCUGUUCUUCUAGGAUGGAUUCCUACCCUGUAAGAGAGCCCCCAAUAGCAUGUUUAUUGUCUUUCCUGCGAAGAGAUGAGAGGAAAGGGGUGCCCAGCUCUCAAACCCAUAAUAAAGUCCUUCUUUCUAUGGAAUUUUUCAGACCGCAGUAAAAUCUGAAAUAUACUUCUACAGGUUCUUUUAAAAUUACUCUCUAGCUCAUAGGCAUCCUGCCCGUUAAAAAGCAGAGAAAAAGAUUGCAUUCUCUGUUAUAUAUUUAGAAGUAUUUUAGCUUCUUAUUUGCUUUAUCAGGCCAAAGCCCUUAAGAACCUUCAGGAUAUGACAAGUGUCUAUUCAGAAGUACUACAGUGGUGCUGUGCUUCUGUAGCCCAGUUUGAUCACUGCAUAAUCCAGGCAGAGAGAUGUACUCUCAAAAGGACAGUGUACCACAGAAAAGGUGAUGUGGGAGGUCAAUGAAAGUACUGUCAGUUUUCCUGAAUAUAUACUUAGGAGGUGGUUUUCUUAUAUACCCAGAAAUACAUAUAAUCCUAGUCAGGAAGAAAUCCAGAUGAUUACAUUUGGAUUGAUAAUGGAUUCUUCCUCAGCUUUGUUUCAAUGUUAUGUUAUAUUGCCUGUCUUACUGACUAUUUCUCCCCUCCCCAAGCUAAAACUGAGGAGGAUCUGCAGAAUGUUGCUUGUAUUUAGGAAUGUACUUCGAUGUACUUUGGAAGGAGAAAAAAAUGUUUUCAUUUUCAGCCACACCUGUUUGAAGGCCUAAGAGAUUUGAAGAGGAUUUGGUCCAGUUAGAAAUCAGGCUAGAGAUCGUAUAUCAAAAUAUGAAUCAGAAUUUUCAGAGCUGAAAAUAUAAAACUAAUCAUCUUGGUUAAGAAGAAAUAAAAUCUUUUAACUCACUCUGGUCAAUUAAUGUUAGUCCUUCCAUAGGAAGUUAACAAGUACAUAGGAAACAAUGGGACAGAUUAAUAGAGGAGCCUUAUGUGUGUAGACACUUGCUCAAUCACCCAAAGCUCCUAAAGGUUCAGCUGCAAGUCUGGAAAUGUAAGCGCUGGUGUCUAAAAUAGAAGACAUGGAAAUAGAUGCUGGUUUUGAUUUUCUUUCUACAUUGUGUGGUUUACCACAAAAAGCAAAAAAACCCCAAACAAAUAAAGCCCCCAGGUAAUGGUCAUGGUUCUGGAGGGCUUGAAGGGCAUAUGCCUUCACUCACCACAAAGCAAAUACAUAAUAAAGGAUAUGUAGCUUCAGCUACAAAACAUGCAUGCAGGAAUCACUACAUACAUAGCAGCUGUAAGGAUUAAGUGAACAGAUAAUUCUUUUCCAUAUCUCUUUUUAAUAAUAAUUAUCUGUACUUAAAAGAAGGAAUAAUAUUUCAUCAUCCACAUCUGAGGAAUAGCGCUUUUUUUUUUUUUUUUUUUUUUUGAUACACAGCAGCACUCAGAAUUCUUACUGCAGAAAAAAAGGCCACAGAGCAGACAAGGUGAAAUGACAGAUUCAGGUAAAACAUGAGCAGCCAGAUCCCAACAAGCAAGUUCAGUGCAUUGACAAUCUU